UGCGUAGGCGGCCUGACAAGUCAGAGGUGAAAGGCUACGGCUUAACCGUAGUAAGCCUUUGAAACUGACAGGCUUGAGUGCAGGAGAGGAAAGUGGAAUUCCUAGUGUAGCGGUGAAAUGCGUAGAUAUUAGGAGGAACACCAGUAGCGAAGGCAACUUUCUGGACUGUAACUGACGCUGAGGCACGAAAGCGUGGGGAGCGAACAGGAUUAGAUACCCUGGUAGUCC
This 228-nucleotide ribosomal RNA is filed under the name uncultured bacterium. RNAcentral's name for it is "partial 16S ribosomal RNA". It matches the Rfam family "Bacterial small subunit ribosomal RNA", at positions 568 to 796 of the family's 1533-position model. The record is from RNAcentral.